This 494-nucleotide ribosomal RNA is filed under the name uncultured bacterium. RNAcentral describes it as "partial 16S ribosomal RNA". It matches the Rfam family "Bacterial small subunit ribosomal RNA", at positions 28 to 504 of the family's 1533-position model. The record is from RNAcentral.
GAUGAACGCUGGCGGCGUGCCUAAUACAUGCAAGUCGAGCGAACAGACGAGGAGCUUGCUCCUCUGACGUUAGCGGCGGACGGGUGAGUAACACGUGGAUAACCUACCUAUAAGACUGGGAUAACUUCGGGAAACCGGAGCUAAUACCGGAUAACAUGUUGAACCGCAUGGUUCAACAGUGAAAGACGGUCUUGCUGUCACUUAUAGAUGGAUCCGCGCCGCAUUAGCUAGUUGGUAAGGUAACGGCUUACCAAGGCAACGAUACGUAGCCGACCUGAGAGGGUGAUCGGCCACACUGGAACUGAGACACGGUCCAGACUCCUACGGGAGGCAGCAGUAGGGAAUCUUCCGCAAUGGGCGAAAUCCUGACGGAGCAACGCCGCGUGAGUGAAGAAGGUCUUCGGAUCGUAAAACUCUGUUAUUAGGGAAGAACAAAUGUGUAAGUAACUAUGCACGUCUUGACGGUACCUAAUCAGAAAGCCACGGCUAACUAC